Molecule: RNA transcript, 4248 nt
Organism: Lotus japonicus
Lineage: Eukaryota; Viridiplantae; Streptophyta; Magnoliopsida; Fabales; Fabaceae
Gene name: tRNA (carboxymethyluridine(34)-5-O)-methyltransferase-like
Exons: 4
Source: RefSeq, a predicted model, not a curated record
UUUCCCUUCCCUGUUUUCCUUUCCAUCUAUUUUCACCCUAAACAAACACAGUGUGAAUGUUCCUCAUUGAUAUCCAAACCCUAAAUCUCUUCUUUCCAGCGAUCAAUGGAGACUCCCUUCAAUCAGUCUUUUCGAGCGACGCCCCUCAAAGAAUGGUGAAUGGUUCAUGCUCAUAGUGCUCUAAAACUAACAUCAAGUAGAUUCUUCUACAACCCUAGGGGAGUUCUCGGUUUACUCACUGCUAUUGGUGGUUGUGUCUGUCAUUCAGGAUUUUGUUCAAUGACACAAAUCAAUUCUGAAGUGGGUUCUAGUUUAUGUAGUAUUCUUGCCCCAAAUGGGGAACCCUGCAUCACAGAUUCCUCAUCAGUAGUUGAGAACCCUACCACUUCGUCGGUGAGCGUGCGGUCUACCCCUGAAAUUGAAAAGAAGUUUGUUCAUCAUGUUUAUGAUGCUAUUGCGCCGCAUUUCAGUUCCACUCGGUUUGCCAAGUGGCCAAAGGUUGCCUCUUUUUUGUCAUCUUUGCCUUCAGGAUCUCUUGUCCUGGAUGCGGGAUGCGGGAAUGGGAAGUACUUGGGUUUAAAUCAAGAUUGUUUUUUUAUUGGAUGUGAUAUAAGUCCUUCGUUGAUUAAAAUAUGCUCAGAUAGAGGACAUGAAGUUAUGGUUGCAGAUGCAGUGAAUCUUCCUUACAGAACUGGUUUUGGUGAUGCGGCAAUAUCUAUAGCUGUGUUACAUCAUUUGAGCACUGAGAAUCGAAGGAGAAAAGCAAUAGAAGAGUUAGUCCGAGUUGUUAAAAAGGGUGGCCUUGUUCUUAUUACAGUUUGGGCUGUAGAACAAGAGGAUAAAUUGCUGGUCACCAAAUGGACUCCGCUUGCAGAAAAAAAUCUUGAAGAGUGGCCAGAACCUGGAAAUCAUUGUGCUCGGGUUCCUUCAUUUUCAUCAUUGGAAAGUAUUCCAGAAAGUGAGGAGAGUAGCUCGGUUGAGCACGUUAAAGUUUGCAAUGAGUCAAAAUCAUCAAGUGAUUUGAAUGAAGAAAAAAAAUUGAAGAAUCAACAGGAGUAUUUUGUUCCUUGGCAUUUACCUUAUCAUCGUGCAGAAAUCAGUGGUUCUUCUGCAGAUGCUCUUGCUACUGGUCUUGCAACUAAAGAUGACAAAAAGGGGGCUGUAGUGUACAAUAGAUAUUAUCAUGUUUUUAGUCAAGGCGAGCUUGAAAGUUUGGCAAAUGGAAUAAACAAUGCAAGAGUUGUUGAUCAGUUUUUUGAUAAAUCCAACUGGUGUAUUAUUCUAGAGAAGACAUGAUAUGAUGGCCAAGAAAGAAACCUAGCUGAUAUUUGGGGGGGGGGAACUUGUCUGCUUCCUUUUUAAGACAUCUGUCCAACUAGUCAACCUCGAGUGGGUAUAGAAUUACUGCAACCUUUAUAGCAUUUUCCUGCAACUAAUCUUCAUUUGGCUUCUAACUUCUUGCUAUCAACAAAAAAAAAAAAAAUAGACAGCUACAGAACUUGGACAGUGAUGAUUCUCUAAGAAUUUCAUUAUCCAAAUCAGGCUGCCUUCUUCAAGCAUACCCAGGUUAUUGUGUUUAUUGUUCUUUCUUUUUGAUUUGCAAAAUCCAAUUUUGGUUAAAAGAAUGUAGAGCAGGAAGGACAUCACUGUUAUGUGUAUGAUGGUGUUGUUGCUGGGCACUGUUUCUGCCCAGACAAUGCUGAACAUCUUUUAGCCACUUUCACAACAGCAGUUACAUUGGUUUCAUGUACUGGACAGAUUAUUUGCUGAUGUGUCAAGAGAAAAGAUUUCUGGACGAUGGUUGUGAACAUUUGAACUUCGCACAGACAUGAGGCGGACGUUACCUCUAGUGGACGAUGGAUUUAGAGGAUAAUGAACGAUGAAGGAGUAAACUAUGUAUGUUCCUUCUUUCCUACUUAAGAAGUUAGUAUAAAGUUGUUCUUGAAUGUACAAUAGUAAUGGUGAUAGGCCCCAAAACCCUAGCGGAAGUAGAGUAUGGUAAUAACCUAGCCGUUUUGUAAUAAAUGCCCAAAAGUCCCUUUUUAAGGUACAAGUGUUCCCUUUUAUAGGGGAGUACAUAGAAACCCCAGGAAAUUAACUAACUGGGCUACUUGGGCCUCACUACUCUCGGCCUAGUAACCUUACACUCAUUUACCCGCCAUGUGGAGGUCAUUCCCUAUUCUUGAGUGCCCUUCACCGCUUGUCGCUCUUGCUCGCCUGUUGCUUGGGGGUUUGAGUCGCCCUUGGACGGCAAGGGGCGGACCCCUUUUAUGGUGAGGGGUCUGCCCAGUCAUACAAGUGUAGUAUCUACCCACAUCUGAUGGUAAUUAGAUUAAGACAACACACAAGAAAGGUAACAGGAUAUAGGCACUCACAGAUGUGUAUUCUCUGUAAAGCUUAGACAAUAUAUUUUCCAGAUAGGUAUUGUAAUUAUAGACACUAGAUGAGGUAUAGUACACACAAGUAGAUUCAGAUAAUAGCAAGUAACAACUAGAUUCACUUAAAUCUUUCUGAAAGAGUCCCUUACAGAAGACCGUCAUACCUAUUAAGUAGUCAAAAACAAUGCAAGGGUUUUGAAAAGAUAGUACCUGAUUACUUGACUCCUUAAUUGAGUACUGACUUUGCUUUGUGUGUUCAGCCCAUGUGCAUCAAGGUCUGGUCUUUUCAGUCUUGGUCUAGAAACCAGAGUUUGAUUCUUUCACAUUGAUUUUUGGCUUUCCUUUUCAUAUCUCCUAUGGAUAAUUCUUCAAAGAUUGAACUAGAGAUAAGAUUCUGAUGCUUGAGUCUCGGAUGAAUUGCUGGGAGAUCACUAAGAAUUUGUAGGAGUAUCAAUUUUGGUCUUUCCCAUUUGAGAGCAAUAUGAUCCCAGACUUUGUGACUCAGCUGCUUUCUUCCUCAUAUGAAUGUUGUUGAUGAGCAUAGGAAGGAGAGAGCUUUGAUGAGCAUAGGAAGGAGAGAGCUUUUACUUUGGCAUAGACUUGAUUUGUAGAUCCUCGUUUCAUUCAUAGUUCGCUAAUUUUACUGAUGUUCCACAAGCCACACUUAGUGGAUUCCACGAAGAACUACAGUUGAUAUUUCUAGUAUAUGCAUAUUUCGCUGCUGAGGAGAGAGAUUUGUUGUGUAUAGGUUGCUCAAGAUAGAUGAGUAGUUGUCAACCAUUUGAUCGUCUCUACAUCUGUUAAGAUGUCAACCCAGAGCAUUGCUCUGAUACCAAUUGAGAAAUAUCGCAGAGACCCAAGAGGAGGAGGUUAGAUUGUGUCUGUGUAAAUCUUAAUGGUUGAUCACUGAAAAUUUCUGUUUUUAAAAAUUUCUUGCAUCUUUGAGUUUGAUGGCAACAGAUGAUUGAUGAGCAAGUUGCUAGAAGGUAAAGAAUGAAAACACACAAAUUUUUAUCCUGGUUCACCCAGCAUGGGCUACGUUCAGUCCUUGGUCUUUGACCAAGAUUUUCUUUAUUAGCAGGACUUCUCAUUUUACAAGUAUUCAUAGGACUUCUCAUAAGUGUUCUUUAAUCCAGCCUCUCAAAGCUGUUGAGUAUUCUCAAGGACUCAUCCCAACCAAGUAUUAUAGGGACUCUUCCCAACUAAGUAUUCUAGGGACUUCUCCCAACCAAGUAUUCUAGGGACUUCUCUCAACUAAGUAUUUUUGUUCAAGCCUCUCUAGGCUUUUAAGUUUUUGAGGGGCUCCUCCCAACCAAGUAUUCUUUCUCAAGCCUCUUUAGGCUUUACACAAGUAUUAGGAGGACUUCUUCUCAUUUUACAAAUUGAAUGGGUGCUCAAUUGAAUGGUUUUAGAAGUCUUUUCCAAGAAUGAACUUCCAAAGAGCAAGCUAAUUUUUACAGGUUGAAUUUGCUUCUAGAAAGAGAAAUAACUCAAUGAGGUGGAGAUCUGAUAUGUGGCCCUCAUGUCCAAGAUUCGUUUGAGUGAGGGAACAUUACCAUUGUUGUGUGCAAGAAUUAAUGUGAACAUUAUCUUGAAUAUUGUUUUUAUCCUGUUGUGGAUGGAGAACAAGAAAACCUUGAUUUAUUUCUGUUUCGAAACCGAACUGUGUUUCAUUGAUAUAUGGUUUGUUAGGAUCAAAUUGUUCAUGUUCAAUUACAUCUAGCAACAUCCGGUUAACAACCUUGUGUGCUUAAUUUAUAUUCUUGAAUUUAAGUCCCACAGGAAACAUGGAUUUCUUGUGGCAAACAUCUAUUGUGUGGCCAUUUUAUCUGCAUAUGAGAAUUUAUUGGACACAAAUCUCGUGUGUUUA